This 393-nucleotide ribosomal RNA is filed under the name Limnodriloides baculatus. RNAcentral describes it as "partial 12S ribosomal RNA". Lineage: Eukaryota; Metazoa; Annelida; Clitellata; Tubificida; Naididae. The record is from RNAcentral.
CUAUUCCAGGCCUAAAACCCUAGCUGGAUAGUACAAAUCACUAUUUAAACCCCAAAGAACUUGGCGGCGUUCCAACCACUCAGGGGAACCUGUCCCUUAAUUUGAUACUCCACGUAUGCCCAUCCUACCCUUGAACCAAAUAUUCAGCCUGUGUAUUGCCGUCAUUAGCAUACCUUAAAGAGCAAGUAUACAAAAAUACUAAACCCGCACUUAUGUCAGGUCAAAAUGCAGCCCAUGGGUAGGUGGAGAUGGGUUACACUCUUAAUUAAAGCCACCCCCGGCAACUCAUAAGCUGCCCUAAAGCUGGACUUGAUAGUAAUAAACUAAAUCUAAAAAUUUAUGAAACCGAAUCUAGAACGUGCACAAAUCGCCCGUCACUCCUGNUGAAAAAUG